This 429-nucleotide ribosomal RNA is filed under the name Fusobacteriota bacterium. RNAcentral describes it as "Fusobacteria bacterium partial 16S ribosomal RNA". It matches the Rfam family "Bacterial small subunit ribosomal RNA", at positions 355 to 776 of the family's 1533-position model. The record is from RNAcentral. Lineage: Bacteria; Fusobacteriati; Fusobacteriota.
UGGGGAAUCUUCCGCAAUGGACGAAAGUCUGACGGAGCAACGCCGCGUGAGUGAAGACGGCCUUCGGGUUGUAAAGCUCUGUGAUCCGGGACGAAAGAGCCUGAGGUAAAUAGCCUAAGGAAGUGACGGUACCGGAAAAGCAAGCCACGGCUAACUACGUGCCAGCAGCCGCGGUAAUACGUAGGUGGCAAGCGUUGUCCGGAAUUAUUGGGCGUAAAGCGCGCGCAGGCGGCUUACUAAGUCCAUCUUAAAAGUGCGGGGCUUAACCCCGGGAUGGGAUGGAAACUGGAAAGCUGGAGUAUCGGAGAGGAAAGUGGAGUUCCUAGUGUAGCGGUGAAAUGCGUAGAGAUUAGGAAGAACACCGGUGGCGAAGGCGACUUUCUGGACGAAAACUGACGCUGAGGCGCGAAAGCGUGGGGAGCAAACAGG